Molecule: non-coding RNA, 2183 nt
Organism: Peromyscus maniculatus bairdii (prairie deer mouse)
Lineage: Eukaryota; Metazoa; Chordata; Mammalia; Rodentia; Cricetidae
Source: RefSeq, a predicted model, not a curated record
ACAUCAAACCUCCUAAAAUGGGAGUUGCCACCAGGGCAGGAGCCACAUGGACCUCAUUUCCUGCCUCAGUGCCCAACACAAACUGAUGCUUGAGAAGCAAGGAUUGGGAUGACAGGAGUGGGGGUGCCUAGGCCUUGAUGCGUCCCCACAAGUAAAAGACCACCGUGGCUGUAGUAAUUAUAGCCCCUGUCAUGCGUCUUCGGGCAGUGGGAGGGACGACCCAGAGGGGAACUGGAGGUGAAGCUGUGACUUGUACCCAGUCAGGACCAUAUCUGUCCAGCUCCUGUUCUACCUCAUGUCUAGCAGAAGGCCAGCACAGAGCAGCACCUGAGGCACCCUCACUGCUCAACUAGGCAACCUCGGAAGCUGUCCAGCCAGUCUCCCCAAAGCAAGGACGGCAGAGACAAACACCAUGAUCAACAUUUAUUUGUAAGUUUUCCCAAACAGGCCAGCUGGGAUCUGGGGAGGCUGCCUGGAUGUGUCUGGGUUCUGUGGUCUGUCAGUCUUUCCCUGGGGCUUUCUGGGUCCAGAAGUCCUCAUGGGGUCUGGACAGUGUCAGACUCGGAAGAGCUGCCAUGUGAAGGGACAGGGUUUGUAGAGAGGCAGGGGGCCUGCGGACAACCUGGAUUCUGCUCUGUCUACCAGCACAUGACAGGGGGAAACAGAGCGGAACCCAGUGAGAGUGGCAGGGAGCUUUGACUGGUGGGCAGGACCGGCAAUGUUCAGGCCCUGAGCCUGAAGGGGGCGAGGGCGAGGUCCCAAUCCACCUUCCUCUCGACUUCUGGAAGGACAAGGGAGAGAGGAGGGCUCCAGUUUGUCAGAGGUGAGUUGUAAGCAGCUCCGCCUCCUGAAGAGGGUUUCGGCACAGCCAGGAUGACUGUCUUGCAGGCUGUGACCCUUGGUCCCUUCCCUGGAGGAGAUAUGGAGAAGGCUCUGGUAGUCUCAUCCCUGCUGGACCUUCACUGAGCCUUCUUGGUCACCCUCUGGCUCUUCAGCAUCACGUAGGUGAUGAACAAUCCUGGAAUACACAGAGUGAAAGGAAUGGGAGGACUCAAGUGAGGGCUGGAUGACCAGGGCAAGAUGACCCCCAUGCAAGGCCGGGCUCCCAAACAAACACCCUGUGGGCGAACCUUCCCAGUCAUUCCUUAAGCCCCACAGCCCCUCACGGCCAGUCAACCAUCACCAGUGAACACAAGGUGCUUUGCUGAAGGCUUCAGGUCUCAUGGGGAAUGAUCUACCCAGCCAUCUACUACUAAAAGAUCUACUCACACAUCUGCCCUCCUACCUAGCAGCACCCCAUCCCAUCCCCCAUCCUCCGAAUCACUCUUCCAGCACUAGCCCAGGGCCGCUCCAGUGCUAGAGUUUAGAACGCUGUCAUGAGGAAGACAGUCCCCAACCCAUAGAAGCAGUAAGAGAUGCAAGGGUGACAAGAGGGGACGUGGCUGAGGUGUGAACAGUGAGGACGAAGAUAAGGCUGGACAGGAAAGGGGAGGCUGCCCUCCCUGCCCCAGAGCCUGAAUCUCGGCAGGACCAGAGGGGUGUCUGCCUGUGGCCUUUAAGGAGGAACAGGAAAACCCCAGGGAGAGCUGGGGACAAGCAGAUGUACAGCAAGUGCCGAAGUGUGGAAGCACACUGGGGUGAGCGGCCAGCCUUCCAGACAUCCUGCCACGGAUCAGGAGACCUCUGGAGAGUGGGAGACUUACCCACAAACAGGAGUAGCAGGAGGCCUGUGGCCAGGGGGAUGAGGACUGCAUAGGCACGAGGCAGGAAGUACUUGUGGAUGACAUGCUGGCUGUCAAUGAACGGCUGCCACCGAGGGAAGAGCUCCGGUCAGUACUGCUCAUCUUACCCAGCCCAAAUGGGAAGCCAUCCCACCUCCUCUGUCCAAGGGGCUGAACCCAUUGACAGCACUGGGUACUGAGGACCUGCCCUGAUGUCAUACCCAGCCUCGCAAAGAGUCUAUGAGGAAUCCCCAAGAGGUCCCCAGCCUUGGCUCUUCUAGCUGUGCACGGGGCCGACAGAAGUGGCUCUCCGGUUUAGGAAGCCCCGGGUCACCUGUCCACCAGCGGCCGGGAGAGCGAUCCGGGUUCGGAAAGCCCGAGCCCCCCGACUCCAAAGGAGUCUCCAGACCUGACCCCUGACAUCCCCAAAUCACAGAGGUACCGCACCCCAGGGCUCACCAU